RNAcentral lists this ribosomal RNA (893 nucleotides) under uncultured archaeon. RNAcentral's name for it is "bacterial SSU rRNA". It matches the Rfam family "Archaeal small subunit ribosomal RNA", at positions 1 to 902 of the family's 1478-position model. The record is from RNAcentral.
UUCCGGUUGAUCCUGCCGGAGGCCACUGCUAUUGGGAUUCGAUUAAGCCAUGCGAGUCGAGAGGGUUCGGCCCUCGGCAGACUGCUCAGUAACACGUGGAUAACCUACCCUUAGGUGGAAGAUAAUCUCGGGAAACUGAGAAUAAUACUCCAUAGAUCUAGGCGGCUGGAAUGCAUCUAGAUUGAAAGCUCCGGCGCCUAAGGAUGGGUCUGCGGACUAUCAGGUUGUAGUCAGGGUAAAGACCUGACUAGCCUACGACGGAUAUGGGUUGUGAGAGCAAUAGCCCAGAGACGAUAUCUGAGACACGAUAUCGGGCCCUACGGGGCGCAGCAGGCGCGAAAUCUUCACAAUGUGCGAAAGCACGAUGAGGGGAUCCCAAGUGCUGGCACGUAAGUGUCAGCUGUUUCUUAGUCUAAAAAACUGAGAGAGUAAGGGCUGGGUAAGACGGGUGCCAGCCGCCGCGGUAAUACCUGCAGCUCAAGUGGUGGCCGCUAUUAUUGGGCCUAAAACGUCCGUAGCCUGUUUAGUAAAUGCUUGGGUAAAUUGUGUAGCUUAACUAUACGAAUACCAGGUAGACUGCUAAACUUGGGACCGGGAGAGGCUAGAGGUACUCCUAGGGUAGAGGUGAAAUUCUGUAAUCCUAGGGGGACCACCAGUGGCGAAGGCGUCUAGCUAGAACGGGUCUGACGGUGAGGGACGAAGCCCUGGGGCGCGAACCGGAUUAGAUACCCGGGUAGUCCAGGGUGUAAACGCUGCUUGCUUGAUGUUAGUUGGGCUCCGAGCCCAACUAGUGUCGGAGAGAAGUUGUUAAUCAAUGCUGCCUGGGAAGUACGGUCGCAGACUGAAACUUAAAGGAAUUGGCGGGGAGCACAGCAACGGUUGAGCGUGCGGUU